AUGAACAGAGAACUGGGGUGGAUGAAUGUUGAAGUUGGCAUGGUUUGUGAGAUCUUAGUGGAGGACGGCUGGCAUCAUCGGGCGGAAGAGGAGGUGCUCAGUGCAUGGAGUCUUGCUAAAAUAGUUGUGCCGAGCUUUGAUUCUUGUAGUCAUUCAUGUCCCUGCAAAAAAUUGGACAAAGAUUCUACUCCCUCUGUCCCAAAAUAUAAGAACGUUUUUUACACUAGCAUAGUAUCAAAAACGUUCUUAUAUUUUGGGACGGAGGGAGUAACUUUGUGUGUGCUUGAACUUGUUAUUUCCGUCUGUUGGUGCCUGUACUAA
This 321-nucleotide ribosomal RNA is filed under the name Triticum aestivum (bread wheat). RNAcentral's name for it is "partial small subunit ribosomal RNA". The stretch from base 185 to 271 matches the Rfam family "MIR1120/MIR1122 microRNA precursor family". The record is from RNAcentral. Lineage: Eukaryota; Viridiplantae; Streptophyta; Magnoliopsida; Poales; Poaceae.